UCUAGAAGCAGUUUGUUCAUUAGGUGCAAGGUGCAGGGCCAGCCUGCAAGGUGCAGGAGAGCAACUGGACCAAUGAGGGUUUCCAUGCCAACCUGAAGAGGUUGGUCUUUAUUCUCAGGAUGACAGUCAUCCGUCGUUGGACUGUUCUAAGGAAGACAGAGAUAUAACUAAAAUGGUGUUUUAGAAACAGCUUUCUGGCUGCAGUGAGAGAAGAUGGGUUGGGGGGUGAGGAGCCAAGGGUGAAGAAAAGGAGCGCUAGAGGCGCCCCCACGGGCCAUGGGGCAGCCUGCAGAAAGUGCAGAUGGACAGUAGCAAGUUAAAGGCAGGAGAGCCGACGCCCCGGGGCUUGCCUGGCUGCUGAGGGUGACAGUGGAAAAUCUAGGCGGGCGUCCAGAUUUCUCAUACAGAGGUGUUUUCUUUUUGUUAGUUUCAACGCAGCCGCAACUUGCCUCUGACAUUUCAAAGUGAUGGAGGUGCCUUUUCUUCCCGCCACCCUCUCUGGUGCUUCCUGCGCGUCGCGCAUCUCGGGCUCUGAAGACCCUUGCUCCGGAUGACCAGGAGGAGAGUGCAUGCCACACGUCCGAAGCUGCGUCUCCACAGAGAUCCCCUCCUUCCUGGUGCCUCGCUCACAUUCUUGAAGCCCCCUGGCUCCUUGCCCAACACUCCCCAGUCUCACAAAGAAAAGAAUUUGCUUUUUUUUCCCCUUCCUCCAAGCUCUCCUUCUCUUUCUCUAGCUCUCUCACUGUUUGUCUCUGUCUCACAGCCUCUCUCAGUCUCUGUCUGAAUCUUUCUGUCUCAGUCUCAGUCUCUGUCUCCCUGUCUCUGUCUCUCUUUCUGUCUCUGCCUGUCUCUCUGUGUGUCUCUGUUUCUCUCUCUCUGCUUUUCAGUCUCUCCUCUCUCUCUUUUCCUCUCUCUCUUUUUCAAAUUUCAAAGCGUUGCUUUGAAUGACGGACUAUUCAGGACAGGCAGAAUGAGGCCUCUCUGGGGCUCGGCUGCAGUCAAAGC
Molecule: long non-coding RNA, 1005 nt
Filed under: Homo sapiens (human)
Lineage: Eukaryota; Metazoa; Chordata; Mammalia; Primates; Hominidae
Description: HSALNT0027923
Source: RNAcentral